RNAcentral lists this non-coding RNA (29 nucleotides) under Rattus norvegicus (Norway rat). Lineage: Eukaryota; Metazoa; Chordata; Mammalia; Rodentia; Muridae. The record is from RNAcentral.
GACACAGUUCUAAGGGACAAAGUGGUGAU